This 892-nucleotide long non-coding RNA is filed under the name Helianthus annuus (common sunflower). RNAcentral's name for it is "hypothetical non coding rna". Lineage: Eukaryota; Viridiplantae; Streptophyta; Magnoliopsida; Asterales; Asteraceae. The record is from RNAcentral.
UUUCCAUAUCAUCUUGAUUGCAUAAAUCCCGUUUAUAUCUACAAUUAGGUUUCAAAAUCCCACACAUCUUUCUCUCUCACAUAUCACAGCCGACAUCAACUAAAAUCCCACACCACACAGUUCUGUCGCCGGAACUGCAUCGCCACCCAGAUCGUCGCAGACAUCGACCUGACCCCCAUCUCUUCUCCCGCUGCUUUAUCUCUCUCUCUCUGUGCCUCUAGAUGACCGCCACCCACUACUUUUGGUGUCGGCGUCCGACGAAACAGCGGGGACAAUGACGGACUUCUCAAUUAAAAACCCUAGAAUCAUCUGUUAUCUCUUUCAAUCGAUCUGUAAGUUUCUAUAAUUCCCGAUUCCUUUCGAUUAUGAUUAGCAAUUGUUUUUGUUUGUUUAUAUGUAUGUAUUAUGUAGCUAAUUACACAUAUGUACCAUGCUGAGUACACAUGUGUACUGUUCAAAAUCCCAAGUACACAUGUGUACACCGUUGAAAUAUGAAGGUUACGUGGAUCUUAAAAAUCAUAAUUCAAAUUCUGGUGGUGAAAUCUGAAAAAUAAAAAUGAAAUAGAAGAUAUUGUGGAUAAUGAAUUUAAAAUAGGAAAGAUGUAACUUAAUUCAAUUAUUAAAAUAAUGAUUUAAAUCUAAUUUUUUAUAUAAUUACAAUCAUACCCUUAACAACUAAAAAGGAAAUCAAUGGUUCAGAUCAGUUCAUGCAGUUCACGCUUGGGAGGUUGUUCACGCUGGAACCCUACCCUAUAUACAUAUAUAUAUAUAAGGGGCUGCUAGAAUGAGAAUCACCCCGAGUUUUAACAUUAACCCGCGCGUUGCGGCGGGACGUUGAUUAGAAAUGAGUAUUAUUCUUAAUCGGAACUGAAUAACUUUCCUUGACCCAAUC